AUCUAAAUAGUUUAAUAAAAAUAUUGAUUUGUGAUGUCAAAGUUAUAAUUUGUGUUUUAGAUU
RNAcentral lists this transfer RNA (63 nucleotides) under Sphaeroderma sp. BMNH 846647. RNAcentral's name for it is "tRNA-His". Lineage: Eukaryota; Metazoa; Arthropoda; Insecta; Coleoptera; Chrysomelidae. The record is from RNAcentral.